UACGAACGCUGGCGGCGUGCUUAACACAUGCAAGUCGAACGGAAAGGCCUGCUUUCCCUUGUGGAUUGCGGGUACUCGAGUGGCGAACGGGUGAGUAACACGUGAGUGAUCUGCCCCCAACUUGGGUAUAAGCCUGGGAAACUGGGUCUAAUUCCCGAUAGGACUGCAGGGUGGUGCCUGUGGUGGAAAACGAUUUUCUAGUGGUUGGGGAUGAGCUCGCGGCCUAUCAGCUUGUUGGUGGGGUAAUGGCCUACCAAGGCGGCGACGGGUAGCCGGCCUGAGAGGGUGGACGGCCACAUUGGGACUGAGAUACGGCCCAGACUCCUACGGGAGGCAGCAGUGGGGAAUAUUGCACAAUGGGCGGAAGCCUGAUGCAGCGACGCCGCGUGGGGGAUGACGGCCUUCGGGUUGUAAACUCCUUUCGACCGCGAGGAAGCCACCUGGUUGGAAGGGUGGUGACGGUAGUGGUAGAAGAAGCACCGGCUAACUACGUG
This 494-nucleotide ribosomal RNA is filed under the name uncultured bacterium. Its description in RNAcentral is "partial 16S ribosomal RNA". It matches the Rfam family "Bacterial small subunit ribosomal RNA", at positions 29 to 507 of the family's 1533-position model. The record is from RNAcentral.